GCCGGGGAGCUCGGGUGGCCCCCAGUGUACCAGGAAGAGGGCGGGGCUAGAUGCCGCCCUGGCAACCAUUAGAGCGCUCCGAGCUGGGCGGCACGGGGACUACAUUUCCCAGGGGUCCCCGCGCAUCGGGCGCGGCGCUCAAGCCCGGUGCGCAGGCGCAAAUCCCCCUUCUGGGCUUAUAUAAGGGCGGC
Molecule: non-coding RNA, 191 nt
Organism: Ochotona princeps (American pika)
Lineage: Eukaryota; Metazoa; Chordata; Mammalia; Lagomorpha; Ochotonidae
Source: Rfam